CCUACGGGAGGCAGCAGUGAGGAAUAUUGGUCAAUGGCCGGAAGGCUGAACCAGCCAUGCCGCGUGAAGGUCAGUGCCCUAUGGGCGUUAAACUUCUUUUGUGCGGGAGCAAUAAUGGUCACGUGUGGCCAGACGAGAGUACCGUACGAAUAAGCAUCGGCUAACUCCGUGCCAGCAGCCGCGGUAAUACGGGGGAUGCAAGCGUUAUCCGGAUUUAUUGGGUUUAAAGGGUGCGUAGGCUGUGAGGUAAGUCAGCGGUGAAAUGCCCCCGCUCAACGGGGUGAAGUGCCAUUGAUUCUGCCUGGCUGGAAUGCGGAUGCCGUGGGAGGAAUGUGUGGUGUAGCGGUGAAAUGCAUAGAUAUCACACAGAACACCGAUUGCGAAGGCAUCUCACGAAUCCGCGAUUGACGCUGAUGCACGAAAGCGUGGGUAUCAAACAGGAUUAGAUACCCGAGUAGUC
RNAcentral lists this ribosomal RNA (460 nucleotides) under uncultured bacterium. Its description in RNAcentral is "partial 16S ribosomal RNA". It matches the Rfam family "Bacterial small subunit ribosomal RNA", at positions 338 to 795 of the family's 1533-position model. The record is from RNAcentral.